Molecule: non-coding RNA, 740 nt
Organism: Pelobates cultripes (western spadefoot toad)
Lineage: Eukaryota; Metazoa; Chordata; Amphibia; Anura; Pelobatidae
Source: the annotation of a GenBank genome assembly
UUUAUUUUGCUCUUCAAUUCUUAACAUGUUCCUGAUUAUUCUGUGUAGGGUGAAACUAGAACUGUUUAAAAUACAUACACAAAUUUGAGUACAUCAAUAACCAGGUUUUUUUUGUCCAUGCUUUUUUUUGCUAGACUAUUUUCACAACCACGUGUGUGCUAGGUAAUAAAACCAACACAGAAGCAAACUUUAGGCAGAAUACUGGUCAGUUAAAAACAAAGCAAAAUAGAGCUACCAGAUAUACACACAGGCUCAGUUCCACAAGCACAAGUCUUAACUGCACGGUUUUGUUCGACUUAGGAAAUUUGAAAAUCAGUGCAUGAAUUUUUCUACGAAGCAGACAGAUGGACAGACACCUAGAAAAGAUACAGCCACGUGGAAUGGUAAAAAGGGGAAUGAUGUGGUUAAAUUGGGACAGUGAUUACAAACAGAAUACAGUACAGCACUGUUAAAUACAAUUUACCAAUUGUUAUUUUAGGUACUGCCAUAGUACUAUCUAGAACACAUUGCUGAAUAACUUAAUGUUGCAAUAUCACCAAUAAUGAUUAGGGAGUCGUUGGAGGAACAUAAAAAUUGCAUGGUAGAGAAUUUAUAUAUUGGAAGCGUUCAACCUAAGUGGGUUGUGCAAAUAGGUUUCAACAGAAUAAUAGGAUCAGGAAGGGCAAGCAGAACAACGUGUAAUUUGAAUUAAAAAAAAUGAAAUGUAAACAGUUAAAAUACUGUGAAAACAUAUCCCCAAA